GACGAACGCUGGCGGCGUGCUUAACACAUGCAAGUCGAACGGAGAGGCCCUGCUUUUGUGGGGUGCUCGAGUGGCGAACGGGUGAGUAACACGUGAGUAACCUGCCCUUGACUUUGGGAUAACUUCAGGAAACUGGGGCUAAUACCGGAUAGGAGCUCCUGCUGCAUGGUGGGGGUUGGAAAGUUUCGGCGGUUGGGGAUGGACUCGCGGCUUAUCAGCUUGUUGGUGGGGUAGCGGCUUACCAAGGCUUUGACGGGUAGCCGGCCUGAGAGGGUGACCGGCCACAUUGGGACUGAGAUACGGCCCAGACUCCUACGGGAGGCAGCAGUGGGGAAUAUUGCACAAUGGGCGGAAGCCUGAUGCAGCAACGCCGCGUGCGGGAUGACGGCCCUCGGGUUGUAAACCGCUUUCGCCUGUGACGAAGCGUGAGUGACGGUAAUGGGUAAAGAAGCACCGGCUAACUACGUG
RNAcentral lists this ribosomal RNA (468 nucleotides) under uncultured bacterium. RNAcentral's name for it is "partial 16S ribosomal RNA". It matches the Rfam family "Bacterial small subunit ribosomal RNA", at positions 28 to 507 of the family's 1533-position model. The record is from RNAcentral.